AUAAGAGGUAUAGCCUGCCCAGUGACACAUGUUUAACGGCCGCGGUAUCCUAACCGUGCGAAGGUAGCGUAAUCACUUGUUCUUUAAAUGAGGACUAGUAUGAACGGCACCACGAAGGUUAUACUGUCUCCUUUCUCCAAUCAGUAAAACUAAUCUCCCCGUGAAGAAGCGAGGAUAAAUUUAUAAGACGAGAAGACCCUAUGGAGCUUUAAACUAACCAGCAUUUGCUAUAUACAAAUUUUUAACUUUAAGACAAUCUAGCCCUCUGACUGGUAAUUUUCGAUUGGGGUGAUCACGGAACAAAAAAUAACCUCCGUGUCGAAAGGAUAAACCUGAGCAAAAAGCGACAGCUUUCCGCACUAAAAAAUUAACGUUCAUUGACCCAAUAUUUUGAUCAACGAACCAAGUUACCCUAGGGAUAACAGCGCAAUCUACUUCAAGAGUCCCUAUCGACAAGUAGGUUUACGACCUCGAUGUUGGAUCAGGGUACCCCAGUGGUGCAGCCGCUACUAAAGGUUCGUUUGUUCAACGAUUAAUACCCUACGU
RNAcentral lists this ribosomal RNA (546 nucleotides) under Hypsiboas punctatus A. RNAcentral's name for it is "partial 16S ribosomal RNA". It matches the Rfam family "Bacterial large subunit ribosomal RNA", at positions 1845 to 2601 of the family's 2925-position model. The record is from RNAcentral. Lineage: Eukaryota; Metazoa; Chordata; Amphibia; Anura; Hylidae.